Long non-coding RNA from Oncorhynchus tshawytscha (Chinook salmon), 427 nucleotides. The record is from Ensembl. NCBI's taxonomy places the organism in Eukaryota, Metazoa, Chordata, Actinopteri, Salmoniformes, Salmonidae.
GUGCUAAGUGGUGUUUAGUGGGCGUGUACCUCUCCAGGUGCUAAGUGGUGUUUAGUGGGCGUGUACCUCUCCAGGUGCUAAGUGGUGUUUAGUGGGCGUGUACCUCUCCAGGUGCUAAGUGGUGUUUAGUGGGCGUGUACCUCUCCAGGUGCUAAGUGGUGUUUAGUGGGCGUAUAUAACUCCAGGUGCUAAGUGGUGUUUAGUGGGCGUGUACCUCUCCAGGUGCUAAGUGGUGUUUAGUGGGCGUGUACAGGUGCUAAGUGGUGUUUAGUGGGCGUAUAUAACUCCAGGUGCUAAGUGGUGUUUAGUGGGCGUGUACCUCUCCAGGUGCUAAGUGGUGUUUAGUGGGCGUGUACCUCUCCAGGUGCAUAUUGUCACUUCUCAGCACGUUCCUGCCGCGUCACAGAGGUGAACUGGACUGCUGGAC